Molecule: long non-coding RNA, 2495 nt
Filed under: Olea europaea subsp. europaea
Lineage: Eukaryota; Viridiplantae; Streptophyta; Magnoliopsida; Lamiales; Oleaceae
Source: RNAcentral
CCAUCCCGUCAAAUGCAAAUGCUCCUAAGAAGAAAAGAGGUCCAACCCAAGUGAUGGUUCCUGAACAUAAUUAUAAGAAAAUAGAACUUGAACUCAAUGAAUUUGGGCAAGUAGUUGUCGGUAACUCCGAUAAAUUUGCUAUUGUUGUUGGAGCCAUGGUACGAGAACAUGUACCUAUUACAAUUAAAGACUGGCAUUCAGUGGAUGAAAAGAAAAAAAUGGAACUUUGGACUUUCAUACAGGUACAUCUCUUAACUAACUUUUUACGAUUUUUUGACACCAUUCUUUUAAGUUAUAAAAUAUAUUUGUGCACAGAUGUAGCAAAGGUUCGAUAUCAAUGAUUGUCAUAAAAUAAUGACAUUUCAAUAUAUGGGAAAGUAUUAGAUGACAUUCAAAUCACAAAUUGAGAAAAGAAAUCAGAACUGAAAUAGCAACAUCUGUUAAUAGAACACGAACCAUUGCCCUCCUUGGACCAAAGAAUGUAAAUCAUGAAGAAGCAAUGGAAAAGUUUCUCAAAGAUACUCUUUCUGUUGACUUCGAAGUAAGAAAUAUUUGCUUAUUAAUGUUAAAUUUUUAUUUAGUUGUUUCUAUUUUUAUUGUUUUGUUUUCUUAAUGGGAAAAAAGUUCCAAGUUCGGGAAAAUGAGAAAGGGUCAAAAGCUUCCUCACACUUUGGGUCGAAAUGCUUUUUCACGUACGGCUCAUGAGAUGGUACAAUUACACACCUAUCUUGUCUGGUUAGGAAUGGAGUUUCAUUUCUUCUUAGUUAUAGGUAUUACACACCAUUGUUGAUUUCCUUCAAGUAUUCAUUACGUAAUUACUGGAUUUAUAUUGUAGAGAAAAAAGAAUCCGGGCUUAAAGGGGUUAAGAACUAGAGUAUGGAUGCAUGGACAUCUUAGAAAUGAUGGUAAACCGAUAAAUGAAGCAGUCACCGCAACUUUGGCACAUGUAUUCUUUCAAUGUAUAUGAUUUAUUAUACGUAUUCAAAGCUAGUAUCUAAUCUGAGUUCCAUAAGUGCAGAAAAGGAUAGAAGAUUGUGCCCAAUCAAUUUCUGAUACACCAGCAGAAAAUUCCAUCCACAAUGAUGCUGUUGCUCGAAUUUUAGGUCCUGAACAUCGUGAAAGAGUUAGAGGACUUGGAUUUGUAGUUUCACCAUCGAAAGUGGAUGGACAAUUCAAAUUAAUGGGAGAGUGAGAGAACUUGAUGAAAAGGUUGGAGCACUAGAAGAAAGGUUGAAGCACUUCUUAAAUUAUCUCAACAGGUUAUAAACUUUUAUCAUCAUAUAUAUACAAUGAUAAUAUAGCUUAGCAUAACUCAAUAUGGAGAAUAAUUUUUUAAUUUUUGUAUCAUUUACAGAAUCAAAACAAGAAUGUAGACGACUUGAGUUCACGUGCUUUUACUCAGGUUUUUGUAUCUUACAUAUUAUUUUGUAUUCACUAUAAACAUAGAAUAUAGCAUAUACUAAUUUAUUUUACUUUGAUUUUGUAGUCACAACAAGGAAGUGGUAUCUAUGGAGGGAUUGCACAUACGGAACAUGCAAGGUUUCAACUGUUGCAUUGGUGCAUAUUUAAAGAGGAAGAAAUUGUAGUUGAAGGAAGGAUUGCAUCAAUAGACCCAAGUGCAAAGGUCAUCACAUACCAAUCGGACGAGAUUGUUGGACUGUUUGGGUUGAGGAAGUGCAUAUGGGCCAUUUGAACUUAUGUAGACCUACUGAUGAAUUUUGAGUGCUUAGAGAAGCCAUAGGAAGUAUAGUUGUUUGGCUAAAGAGCAGUAUUAGACUUAUUUAACAAGGUAUGUAAUGCAUUUCUGCAUUUUUGUUUCUGUGUGUAAUAUCUGUACUUGCUAGGAAAAAAUGGUUUGAUGGAUGAAAAACAAGCACACUCCGGUGUGGUUUAGAGGCUUACUUGGGUGUAAGCCUCUGGAAAUUGAGGCAUAAGUCCUGACCAAUAGCACAUAAGGUGUAAAAUUUGGAGGGCAACCAAAAUAUGCUCAAUAUCUUUGUUGUUCACUUCACUCUUUCCUCUCAGAGUUUCUAGCAAAUAAUGUAUCAGAAGAUUACGAGAACCAUAUUUUGCACCCGUCAAAUCUUUAUUCAAGAAAAUAUUACCAACAUGUUAUACAUAUCAUUUAUUUCUCAACUAUGUGAUCCUAUAGUUAUAUUUUUUUCAUUAAUUUCUGAUGGAGUAAGAUUCUUGCAGUCAAUAAAUAAUGCUUUACAAAGUUAAUUUCUGUGUUCUGUGGAUGUACAAGUGUGCAUGCACAAAGCCUUGUACAAGCAGAAAUGUCCAUAUUUUCAUCCUUCCAUGUCAUUGCUGAUUUUCAAUGUCAAGUUUUUCCAAGUUCUGUUGGGUAUGGAUUGUUUUAAUGGAUUUAUUCUCUCUAAAAAUAGCUUACGUGGUAUCGUUUUGCUCAUUAAGAACUGAUUUACUACUUGCAAAAUUCAAGUAUAGCAGAUGAUUUUAUAAUCACCUAUCAUGACCGUGAAGCACAUAUCCUU